AGAGCGAACGCUGGCGGCGUGCUUAACACAUGCAAGUCGAGUGCGCGCCUGUAGCAAUACAGGUGGCGCACGGCGCACGGGUGCGUAACACGUGGGCAAUCUGCCCUCGGAUGGGGGAUAACUCGUCGAAAGGCGAGCUAAUACCGCAUGACAUUCCUGGGACUCCGGUCCCGGGACUCAAAGGCCGCAAGGCCGUCUGAGGAGGAGCCCGCGCCCGAUUAGCUAGUUGGUGAGGUAACGGCUCACCAAGGCAAUGAUCGGUA
Molecule: ribosomal RNA, 263 nt
Filed under: uncultured bacterium
Lineage: Bacteria
Description: partial small subunit ribosomal RNA
Rfam family: Bacterial small subunit ribosomal RNA
Source: RNAcentral